RNAcentral lists this transfer RNA (78 nucleotides) under Cordylochernes scorpioides. Its description in RNAcentral is "tRNA-Glu". Lineage: Eukaryota; Metazoa; Arthropoda; Arachnida; Pseudoscorpiones; Chernetidae. The record is from RNAcentral.
UGUCCAAUGCGGGAAUCGAACCCGGGUCGUAGUGGUCGAAAGCCAACGGUUUAGACCAUCCUUCCACCAACCCCCGGC